This 2200-nucleotide unclassified non-coding RNA is filed under the name Haliotis rufescens (red abalone). RNAcentral describes it as "uncharacterized LOC124132878, transcript variant X2". Lineage: Eukaryota; Metazoa; Mollusca; Gastropoda; Lepetellida; Haliotidae. The record is from RNAcentral.
UGUACCUUGUGGGUGGUUUCAAUCACAUGAUUUAAACACGCGGGGUUACACACAGUGUCUCUGUUGGGAAUAUAUGCUUAAAUAUGCAGGGGUUGAGAGACAGAGGGUGCAUCUUCAACAAGGCAGUGUUGUCUUUGUUAAUCUGCAUUAUUUUCCGUGCACAAGGUGUUCCUGAGCUGGCAUGUCCUCCUGGAAUAAUUGAGGUUGGAACUUCAGCUGGACUCUUCUGCUCCAUAUCUAAUGUCAAUGUCACCCUUGUGUAUACUGACCCCAAUGGAAUUACAGUACAGUGUGAUAUGAAGACAGGCUCUUCAUUUUGUGCCACAAGUCAGGGUUACAAUACAUCAGUACUCAACGAUACUCACACGCAAAUAGAGGUAAAGAGUGUCAAACCAGCCCAUGGAGGUAACUGGACAUGUAAAGAAGGCGAAGGUGACGCCGCAGACUGUUGCUUUGUUUUUGUCAAACAGACUCCAUCUUGCACCAUAACCAGUGACAGAGAUACCAAAGCACUUGGCCUGAAUGAGGAUAUAUCCCUUACAGUGGCUAUUGUUGGUUUUUACUGUUCUUCAGAAAGCAACUUCAUUCUCCAGACAGGAGGAAUCAGAGAAGCACUGAACAUAAGUACACAUGUGUAUGGUAUAAAGAAUGUAAGUGUUGACACAAAACUGAACAUCAUGGAAUCCCACUUUGGUGAAGUCAGACUGAUAUUUGGUUGCCACAAUGAAGAGAUAAAUCUUACAUGUGGAUGUGUUGAAAGCUUUAACAGAGGAAAACUACCUGCCCUUCCACUCGUCCUGGGAAUUGUCGUCAGCAUCGUCAUCAUCAUCAUUAUAAGCAUCGUAAAUUGUGUAUUAAAGAGAAAUUGGAAGACCCCAAGUCCGUUUCUUGAACACUAUCACCCUGCAGAUGAUGUAAAUGAGGAGGGUUCGACAGUGUUUUCUGGGGAUGGAAGUGUUGCAUUGCGUGUUCCUGGUGAUGCUCUCUGGAGAGCGCAGAGAAAUGUAGGGGAGGGCGAGGGAGUGUAUUCAUUGGCGAAGUGAGUGAGUAUGAUGUUACGCCCCUCUAGACCAGCUAUAUCACCGUGGGACAUCAGAAAUGGGAUACAGACUGCCUGUAAUUUGAUUGAUCAUUAAAACUCAUCAACAUAAUUUGUCCUGAAUUUGAUGAUGCGCCAGUUGCUCUUAUUAACAUACAUGUAGUCGUUGACGGGGAAGUAAGAUUGAGUCAUCUUCCGGUGUUAUUCAUAGCAAUAUACAAUUUCCGUCUGUUCAGAUGAAACGUUCAACCAAAUACCAUCCCUGCAUUGAUACACUGAGAUAUACCAGAUGGAGGUGCCGAUCUCUUUUGUCCAGGGCGAUUCCAUAUUUAGCGGAGUCUUUCAUUACUUCCUGAUCUUCACGUGUCUUCAUCUCUCAUUUGUCAUCCAGACUUCAGUUGCCCAGAGGUAGCUGAACUUGAACGCCCUGCUGUCCUGCAGUGCUCUGUAUCUCACAGUGACACCACCAUUAAAUACGAAGGUCCAAAUGGAGUGGACGCGCCCCAGUGCGAUCUGGGACAAGGAAGGUGUACUGGGUUUGGAGUGUACAGUGCGUCGAUAGUUAACAACAGCAACACUGUACUGCAGAUAAGCAGUGUCGAACAAUCGAUGGAGGGUGUGUGGAAGUGUACAGAUGACGCCAGAAGACGCUCCUCCGCGUGUAUGCUUCAUGUGUUUAAAACUCCAUCGUGCAAUAUAACAAGUGGCGCGAACACAGAUGUAGUUGCAGCAGGUGAAGAAGCCUCACUUGAUGUCACCAUCUUCUCCUUCUUCUGUUCUGGAGCAUCUAACUUCACGCUGCAGAUUGGCAACACCAGCCAAACUCUGGAUACAGCUGUUGAUUAUUCUGCAAAGCAAACGGUCUCCGUAUCUAUUAAUGUCACCGACUCUCACUAUGGAGCUUUGAGACUCUUAUUUUCCUGUCACCGCUAUCAGCGGAGUCUCCCCUGUGCAGGUAUAGCACAGCUGCAUAAACCUGCCUCAACUGGUGGAGGUGCCAUCAGCUAUUCCAGGAACCUGAUACUGUACAUCAGUAUCAUAAAUUUACAAUUUCCAUGGUCGUUGUUGUGGUAAUGUGGGUAUUAGGGAGAACGGUAGAGUAAUAUACUAUUGGGAACACGGUAAAAUUUUUGCUCAAAAGGGAGCAGGCUGGUCUUCUUU